Long non-coding RNA from Canis lupus familiaris (dog), 2796 nucleotides. RefSeq lists it as uncharacterized. The transcript is spliced from 3 exons. The record is from RefSeq and is a predicted model, not a curated record. NCBI's taxonomy places the organism in Eukaryota, Metazoa, Chordata, Mammalia, Carnivora, Canidae.
GCAAUGUCAAUAGUGAUAGAAGCAAAAAAAAAAAAAAAAAGUUAUAGAAGCAAUAGGGUUGUACCUGUAGUUAUUCAUGGUCUCUUUCCUGUAUGGUUAAGUUUGUGUCAUUAUUAUUUUAUACAGUUCUUUUUUUUUUUUAAAGAUUUAUUUAUUUAUUUAUGAUAGGCAUAGAGAGAAAGAGAGGAAGAGAUUCAGGAGGAGGGAGAAGCAGGCUCCAUGCCGGGAGCCCGACGCGGGACUCGAUCCCAGGGCUCCAGGAUCGCGCCCUGGGCCAGAGGCAGGCGCCAAACCGCUGAGCCACCCAGGGAUCCCUAUUUUAUACAGUUCUUAACAGUAAACUGAAGUACAGAAGAAAUCACAGCAAAAACAGCUGAUUUUGUGGAUUGUUUAUUGCAAAAGCAGAGGAAAAAUCUGAGAUAAACCGAAGAAGCAAUGUGUUGGAUAUGUAAUACAUGUUCUUUCGGUGCCUUCAAGAUAACAUGAUCAGCAACUUACUCCAUCCCUUUUGAAAAGAAAUAUUGAACUGUGUGGCUGGAUGGUAGAGCAUAGUGGUGAAAAGAUCUUAUUUUGGAAAUCUGUGAGAAAAAGACUCUGCAUUUAGUCUUCCACGUCGGAUUUCUGUAUUUUCACGCACCGUCUUAAAGCAAAAUCAAGAUUUCACAUCUCACUUCCUCUGGUGAACACCCCGUGAAUAAGUAAGGCGAUAAUAUGACAUCUUACUACAAACCUGACUAUUGUUUUCCUGUCCGUGAUUUAGUACAAAGUUGAUCAUCUCCCAAUACCAAGUUGUACUGAAAAUCCCUUGCGUGGAAAUGAAAGUUGUGGCUUGGUUCGGGGAGUGCAUCUAGCUGAGCAACGAGCCUGGGUACAGAAACAACAUUAUUAGAUCAGAGAUACCCCUAAAAGCAGGUAACAAGGCUGCCCCAAGCUUCGACACAUUCUCUCCCCUGUCCUAAGAACCUGCCAAGCCAAGGACGGUUUUAAAUGUUCCAUAAUAGAACGUCGGAAGAAAGGAAUGUAAACCGGAACCAUAAUCUGUAGAACCACCUGGAGGAAACUGGAUGAAAUGCAGAUUCUCUGGCCCCACCCCAAUUGUAGCCGGUGUUUCUUGAUAGGGCUCAGGAAUCUGCAUUUUAAGCAAGCUCCUCAUGCAAAUCCGAUGCCUACUGAAGCUUGAGUUCCUUGGCAGGAGAGACAGUAAGUGCCAAGAGUGGAGGCGUAAGAAGAAAAACCAUUUAUCAGAGAAGAAAAACUUCCCUGGAAACCACUUACGGAGGUCGGACAAUUUCAUGACUGGAAAGAGGACCUUUGAGAUCCAGAGGCCAGGCCAGAGCUUCUCUCACAUUGUGAGGUGUGCCGGAAUCACCGGGAUCCUGUUCAAAUGAAGUAGGUUGUGGAUGGGGCCUGGAAUUCUGCAUUUUGAGCUAGCUCCCAGGUAAAGCCUUGCUUCGAGUCUGGGGGAUCACCUUUGGAUUAGCAAGGAUUAGUAUUUUACAGAGAAGGAACCUGAGGCUCAGAGAGAAAAAUACUUGCUCAGAGCUGCAAGCAUCCAAGUGCAUCCCUUCGUGCUGCUGCUGACUAAGGAGGCUGAGCCCAUGUAGGAGCCUCUUACCUGCUGGGUAUGGGGAGCUGGCUCCCUGCAGGGGGAUUGCAAAUGUGGGCCAGUCCUGGAGCAGGGCUACAGUACAGAUUUCUCCUCAGCACCACAGGGGUGAUCUGAGGAGCCGCCAAGUGGCCGUUCUGCCACAGUCUGUUGUUUCUUAUCAUCAUGACUACAUCUCCCAGGUCUGGGAUCUUGAAUUCCACUUGGAAUUCCAUGCAACUUCUUGGGUAAUAAUUAGAUAAACUGAAUGCAUGACCCAAUGCACUGACAUGCGCCUGGAUUUUAGCAAAUUUUCAGUCCGAUGCUAGCACACUGAGCAAGUUAGCUAUCCUGAGUUGCAAAGGCAAUAUGGUUUAUAAUCUAUUAAAUAGACUCCGUGGUAUCAGGAUUGGGGAGCAUUCUUUGACACAGGAAAUCCUGUUUCACACAGUGGCUGGUAAACUCAGAAAACUGAUUAUCCCAGACCUGGUACAGAUUCAAAGAUCUUUCCCACUCUCCCUAGAGGGUGGAUAAGAUAGUUUAUCAUCCUUAAUGAAAGGGGAUGCUUGGGUGGGGAGGGGGAGUACUUCUCAACCUUUGAGGUUGAGGUCGGAGACCUUGUCAGUGACAACCCAGGACAGGACCACUGAAGAACUGAGCUGGGGAGUAUGUUUUAUAAUCACUAAUUUUCAGGUAGUGAAGAACUAUGGUAGGACAUUUGGACUCCAGAAAUUUCUUUCUUUCUUUUUUUUUUUUUGCUCCAGAAAUUUCUAAACAAAAAUGUUACUAGAACCCACCCUCCCCCAGACAUACACACACACAUACACAGGCAUUCUCUGCCUAUCCCCUCAAAUGAAGCAUCUUUUCCUCUGGCUUCCAAUUUCUGUUGGAAGGAAAUGUCUCUGGGUUAGAACAGUCUGUGAUCUUUUCCAAAGACAUGAGCGAGUCCUCUUGAAACAUCACAUGUUACGUUUGUAUCUUUUGCCCCUGGUCCAAAGACACAUUUUCCCUGAGCCUUCUUAUCUAGAAAUCCUAAGGCAGCUGGGACAGAUGAAUGGUAGGCAGAGUCUCCAGCCCUUGUGGUCCCAAUCUGAGUGAAGUGUGAAAGCUUCCCAGAGGAUCAGAGUCCAGAGAAAAGUUAAUUUUUGGUUCUAGGCAUGUGGACUUAGGUUUUUGUGCCGGUGAGGAGCGAGGGCUCGGAAUGAGUAAAC